UUAUAGGACACUUAGGUGGCAGUGAGUUUAUGUUAACGGGGAGGAACAACUUAGAAAAGGUGGGUGAGGAUGGUUACCCAACUGGAAGAAUGUAAUCCGUGUCACUAAAUGGUAUAUGCAGAAACUGUUGAAUUGGUACACGUUUUGCUGUGUAUAUUCUCAACAACAACGAGCUAAAAAAAAUUAUUUUAAGAAUAAAAAAGAAAACCCUGUGGAUCACAACAGUCCAGUCUGCAGCUGAUCAUGGGGAUGACACAGGACCAGGCAGUGUUCUAUCGCGUUAGGCAUGGGUCACCAUGAGUUGGGGCUGACUCAACAGUAGCUAACAACCACAUAUAUUUCUCAGCCAUUCUGGCUGUACAGAAAAGCAGAGUUAUGGUAUCUUUUUGUUCAAAGUUUAUUUCAGAGCCCUUGUUCUUGAACUUAUCUCUUCUACCAGUUCUGCCCUAAUUCUGCCCCACUGGUUUUCCUCCGCCCUUCCCUGGAAAUGGUGCUGUUCUGAGUUGCUAGCUAUCUUUCAUUUCUAUUGCUGACUGACAAACUUACUACCUGGGAUGAAGUGAAUUUACAUUUUUUAUAACCAGUGCAAUUUAAGAAGUGGUAGCUAAAGGAUAUUUAAUUUCUACAUCCCUGUGUCUUCACAAAAUCCACAAAGUCUUGGAGCCACUGAAAAUCAUGAAGUUUAUUUCCUUGCCUUUAAGCCAGAAACCUAUCAGAACUAUCCCAGGAAAUGAGAAUGUCUUCUAUUUUAAAAAUAAUUCCAGAAAGGGAGAUUCUGUAAUUUUCUUGACCCAUUCAUUAGAGUGCUUACUGGAUGAGUCAAGUAAGCCAGCCUCCAGCUCAGCACUCCAGGUCCCACUCGGCCCGGCUGGGACUUUCUUAUGCCAGCUUUUCUCUUGCCCAUAUGAUGCAACAGCUGCAGCGGGGGACUCUUCCAGAAUAAGAUGGCAAAUGGAACUAACUGUAUAAAUCUACUGGUCUGUGUGUGCUGUAACAUGCAUGAUCCCUCCAUUCAGAACCGCAGUUCCCACACAACACACGCCACUCUGCCUCCUCUUCACAGACGUUCCCAGGCAGAUACAGGCACUGUUCCAAGUGAUCUGAGGAAAUCAAAGCCUAGGCUGCCGAAAGAAUACGUUCAACAAGAGAAACGAUGUGAUUUCUUGUCACCUUGAAGGCUAAGGUGAGCCUGACCCAAGCCAUGGUGUUUUCAGUCACCUCAUAUGCAUGUGAAAGCUGGCCAAUGAAUAAGGAAGACUGAAGAGGAAUUGACGCCUCUGAAUUACAAUGUUGGCAAAGAAUAUUGAAUAUUCCAUGGACUGCCAAAAGAAUGAACAAACCUGUCCUGGAUGAAGUAGAGCUGGAAUGCUCCUUAGAAGCAAGAAUGGUGAGACUUCAUCUCAUAUACUUUGGACAUGUGAUCAGGAGGGACUGGAAAAGGACAUCAUGCUUGGUAAAGCAGAGGGUCAGUGAAAAAGAAGAAGACCCUCAACGAGAUGAAUUGACACAGUAGCUGCAACAAUGGGCUUAAACACAGCAAUGAUUAUGAGGACGGCGCAGGACCGGGCAGUGUUUCAUUCUGUCAUAUGUAAGGUUACUAUGAGUCCCUACCAACUCGACGGCACCUAAAAACAACAACAUGUAAUUUCUUAAUUUAAUUUUGAUAAAGUUUUCCAUGAAAAUGUCAUCCAAAAGAAACUCUACGCUGUAACCAUAUUCCCAUAAUAAGUUGUAUCCCUGCUUCUCUCUUCAUUGUUCAGAAUAACCAGAUAUAUUUUCAUAAAGACAUUUGUCCAUCUGUCCCCCACCCUGAGUCCCAGUGGAGCUCUGGGGAGCAAUGACAGUGUUACCACUUAGUUAUACAAUAAUACGAACUAGUAGAUACUAA
Loxodonta africana (African savanna elephant) is the source of this 1888-nucleotide long non-coding RNA. RefSeq lists it as uncharacterized. NCBI's taxonomy places the organism in Eukaryota, Metazoa, Chordata, Mammalia, Proboscidea, Elephantidae. The transcript is spliced from 4 exons. The record is from RefSeq and is a predicted model, not a curated record.